GUAGGGAAUAUUGCGCAAUGGGGGAAACCCUGACGCAGCGACGCCGCGUGAGUGAUGAAGGCCUUCGGGUCGUAAAGCUCUGUUGCAGGGGAAUAAAAAAAUGAAGGUACCCUGUGAGGAAGGAUCGGCUAACUUCGUGCCAGCAGCCGCGGUAAGACGAGGGAUCCUAGCGUUGCUCGGAAUCAUUGGGCGUAAAGAGGGCGUAGGUGGCUUGGUAAGUCAGGUGUGAAAGCCCAGGGCUCAACCCUGGAAGUGCAUUUGAUACUGCUGAGCUUGAGUGUCGGAGAGGUUACCGGAAUACCUGGUGUAGUGGUGAAAUACGUAGAUAUCAGGUGGAACACCGGAGGCGAAGGCGGGUAACUGGACGAACACUGACACUGAGGCCCGAAAGCGUGGGGAUCAAACAGGAUUAGAAACCCCAGUAG
RNAcentral lists this ribosomal RNA (425 nucleotides) under uncultured bacterium. RNAcentral's name for it is "partial 16S ribosomal RNA". It matches the Rfam family "Bacterial small subunit ribosomal RNA", at positions 354 to 793 of the family's 1533-position model. The record is from RNAcentral.